GAUGAAGAACGUAGCGAAAUGCGAUAAGUAAUGUGAAUUGCAUAAUUCAGUGAAUCAUCGAAUCUUUGAACGCACAUUGCGCCCGCCAGUAUUCUGGCGGGCAUGCCUGUUCGAGCGUCAUUACAACCCUCAGGCCCCCGGGCCUGGCGUUGGGGAUCGGCGGAAGCCCCCUGCGGGCACAACGCCGUCCCCCAAAUACAGUGGCGGUCCCGCCGCAGCUUCCAUUGCGUAGUAGCUAACACCUCGCAACUGGAGAGCGGCGCGGCCACGCCGUAAAACACCCAACUUCUGAAUGUUGACCUCGAAUCAGGUAGGAAUACCCGCUGAACUUAAGCAUAUCAAUAAGCGAGGA
RNAcentral lists this unclassified non-coding RNA (352 nucleotides) under soil metagenome. Its description in RNAcentral is "partial contains 5.8S ribosomal RNA, internal transcribed spacer 2, and large subunit ribosomal RNA". The stretch from base 1 to 120 matches the Rfam family "5.8S ribosomal RNA", at positions 35 to 154 of the family's 154-position model. The record is from RNAcentral.